UUAGGUUAACAGAUUUUUUUAAAUCAUUGCAUCCUCAGAGUUGAAGGAGUUAGAAUCUCUAGCCCCACCUUACACUUGAAAGGUAGUCAAGCACUGGAGCGAGUUUUAUAGCAAGUCUGUGGGAUGCCGAUCUUUGGAGAUACACAAAACCUUGACUGAGCACGAUCCUGAGCAACCUUGCUGUAGCUGACCCUGUUUGAGCAGGACAGUGGUCUAGGCCAUUUUCCAACCCCAACCACAUUGUGAUUCUGAAGACUGAUAGAAAUGUACUGUUACUGUUUAACUAUUGCCACUGCUGGACUCAUGAAUUUUUAAGAAGUUAAACAGAAGGGCACGAAUAAUACCAAGUCAAAACUUGGUUUGUACAUCAGAGUAUUCACAGAUAACAUUCCCCCUAUUUGCUCUGUCCUCAUCCAGCUUCUCUCCCCACUGCAUUGCUAUUAUCAUUUCAAAGGAGAAAAGAACAGAGAGAAUUUACAAUAUGGAUUUCUUUUUCACUUUCUCUGUAAUAAAAUGCAAACAACUUUAUUUUCUACAAGGCUAUCGUUGCUUUGCUUUUAAUCAAACAAACAUCAUACCCAUUAAUUAUUGUUUUAUUUAAUUAGGAAUUGAAUGAUUGAGAAAUAGUUCUUGGUGGUUCACAAAGAUGCCUCUUGAGCUGCCCAACAAAGUUAUAAAUAAAGAAGGAUGUGAGAAAGUGGUACUUCAAAAGUUCCAUGUUAAUGUUAAUAUGAAAGAACUCUCCAUGAGUUAUUUGCAUUAACUAAAGAUGACCUGAGAUCAAAGUCAGAGCCCAUUGGAGUUUGAGCUUCCAAGGUAGCCUAGUUCUGAGAUGUCUACUGAAAUCUUCCAGAAAUGAAAUAUAAACUACUAUAAUGUGCUAUCAAAACUGUCAAGCUGGUUCAGCAGAAUGAGUGAUAUGUUUAAAUUUGAUUGUUAUUCAAAAGCUCCAUGAAAGUAGAAUACAUGCAUCCAAAUGGCCAGAAGCGACUUCCGUGUCCAGUUAUCAAAAACAAGCUUAACAAAAACUGUCAAGUUCUGAAUUGUGUUUUUUUAACACACCGUAAUUUGAUAAAAUGAUUACCCUUAAGGAGGACUUUGUGUGUAGAUUAAUAAACAUUUUUCCUACUUAGCUGUACAAAGCAGUGAUUAAAAUAAAAAGUAAGUAAUUUCAGUUUUAGCUCUCUUGUGAAAAAUUUAAAUGUUACAUUUGUCAACAAUUCUUCAACAAUAUUGUAAAGUGUGCUGGCACAAAAGGUGAGGGUUUAACAUUAAGCAAAGCUUGAUAGACUGUAAGUACUCACAAAGCUGCUCUUGUUGAAAAUGACUGAAUAUGUAAAAUUAAUUAGUAUAGUUCUGAUCAGUGAUUCUCUCUCAGUAAUAGUUUAACUGGAAUUAAUAAUCAGCGGCUUUUUGUAUCUUUUAAUAUAUGCUUCUGACUUCGUACAUUAAAAAUACAACUGAAAGUUUUGUUAGGGAACCUUGCUGCAAGCUCUCAUCUCUUUAAAAUAAAGGCAAGACAAGCUUAUGGAGAAGAAAUGUAAUUAAAGUCGUGGAAGAAAUUGAAGGGGGUGGGUGAAAUGAGGACAGCAAAGAUUUUUCUCUCCCCUUUAAAAUCCAAAGCACGGGGGAGAUGGAAACCAGAGAGCAAUGCAAACCACUUCUUAGCUCAUAGCAAGUUACCUCUAAAGUGCUCAGCUAAAACUUCUGUUUUCUAGGCCUUUUGGAAAUCCACUGAGACUAGUUCUCUGUGUUCUCCAGUUUUAGCACAGAAUAGAUUAAAUACAGAGAUAUGAAGCUAAGAAAACAUUUUAAAUGUUACUUUCUGUAUUUGAUGUAGGUACUGUGGUCCUUUAUUUCCAGGUCCAGUAAUGAGUUUCACAGAA
This is a non-coding RNA of Coturnix japonica (Japanese quail), 1886 nucleotides long. The record is from RefSeq and is a predicted model, not a curated record. Lineage: Eukaryota; Metazoa; Chordata; Aves; Galliformes; Phasianidae.